GAUGAACGCUGGCGGCGUGCCUAAUACAUGCAAGUCGAGCGAACAGAUGAGGAGCUUGCUCCUCUGACGUUAGCGGCGGACGGGUGAGUAACACGUGGAUAACCUACCUAUAAGACUGGGAUAACUUCGGGAAACCGGAGCUAAUACCGGAUAAUAUAUUGAACCGCAUGGUUCAAUAGUGAGAGAUGGUUUUGCUGUCACUUAUAGAUGGAUCCGCGCCGCAUUAGCUAGUUGGUAAGGUAACGGCUUACCAAGGCAACGAUGCGUAGCCGACCUGAGAGGGUGAUCGGCCACACUGGAACUGAGACACGGUCCAGACUCCUACGGGAGGCAGCAGUAGGGAAUCUUCCGCAAUGGGCGAAAGCCUGACGGAGCAACGCCGCGUGAGUGAUGAAGGUCUUCGGAUCGUAAAACUCUGUUAUUAGGGAAGAACAAAUGUGUAAGUAACUAUGCACGUCUUGACGGUACCUAAUCAGAAAGCCACGGCUAACUACGUG
Molecule: ribosomal RNA, 497 nt
Filed under: uncultured bacterium
Lineage: Bacteria
Description: partial 16S ribosomal RNA
Rfam family: Bacterial small subunit ribosomal RNA
Source: RNAcentral